CCCUAUUAAGGGAAAAUGAUGUUAAAGGAAGCUUUGAAGGUUCCCUAUCGUUUGAGAAAGCUAAGAUAACUACCUCAUCAACUGAUUCAAAAUUAGCAAGCUUGCUGCCAGGAACCUUAGUUACUUCCUCAACAAACACAAUUCCACAUAUUCAAAGUCAAAUCGAGUUCAACCCAAGGAAGUCAGAUGUUGAAAAAGAUGGGAAGGUGAUUCCUGUGAUAAAUCCUCAAGACUUGAAAGCUGAUGAUCUCAUCAAUAUGCUUCAAUC
Molecule: long non-coding RNA, 268 nt
Organism: Neltuma alba
Lineage: Eukaryota; Viridiplantae; Streptophyta; Magnoliopsida; Fabales; Fabaceae
Exons: 3
Source: RefSeq, a predicted model, not a curated record